GAUCCCUUAUAAGGGAAUACCCGUAAAGAAAAAAAAAUUCGCUUUAAGAUGUCUUAUUAUAUCUCGGAUUGUAGUAGUUAAGGUAAUUGCUUAACUAGAUUAAUAUCCGUAGCCAAGACUGAAAGGUCGAUUGGCCACAGUGUGGCCUGAACAAAGCCCACGGUUUUUACUACAGCAGUGAUGAAUAUUGGUCAAUAGCCUAACGGCUGAACCAGCAACUUGGAGGAAUGUAUAACGUAAGUUUGUUGUAUAAAUUAUUAGUUUAUGCAGCUUUGGCCCUGCUAAGUAAAGUUCUAAGUAGAAUGAUGAUAAUGACGUUUUCUAUCGAAAAAAAUAGUCUUGACCAAAUCACGUGCCAGCAGUCGCGGUAAUACGUGGAAGACUAGUGUUAUUCAUAAUUAAUUGGUUUAAAGGGUACCUAGACGGUUUAUACAGCCCAAAAUGGAACUAAUAAACUAGAGUUUAAUGCGAGGGGGGGAGUACUAAAGAGUGUAGAGAUGAAAUUCUGUCAUACCUGCCUUGGAACAGGUAACAGCGAAAGCAACCUCUUAUGUAAAAACUGACGUUGAAGGACGAAGGCUUGGGACACCAACAGGAUUAGGUACCCCAGCAGUCCUUGCAGACAAUGAUGAAUGUCAUAGAUUGGAGAUACAGAUAUCUUUUUUCUAUAUAGAAAAAAGAUAUUUUCUUUUUUUGUCUAUAAAUGAAAGUGUAAGCAUUCCACCUCAAGAGUAAUGUGGCAACGCAGAAACUGAAAUCAUUAGACCGUACCUGAAACCAGUAGUGAAGUAUGUUGUUUAAUUUGAUGAUCCUCAAAACACCUUACCACAAUUUGAAUAUUUUUUUUUUAACAAGCGUUGCACGGCUGUCUUCAGUUAAUGUCGUGAGAUUUUGGUUAGUUCCAUAAAAUUAACGUAAACCCUUGUUUUAUUUAUUAUAAAGCAGUUCCCCACUAUAUUGGAUAUGAUAAUA
Molecule: ribosomal RNA, 972 nt
Filed under: Ptychographa xylographoides
Lineage: Eukaryota; Fungi; Ascomycota; Lecanoromycetes; Baeomycetales; Xylographaceae
Description: partial small subunit ribosomal RNA
Rfam family: Bacterial small subunit ribosomal RNA
Source: RNAcentral